Long non-coding RNA from Daucus carota subsp. sativus, 373 nucleotides. RefSeq lists it as uncharacterized. The record is from RefSeq and is a predicted model, not a curated record. The transcript has 2 exons. Lineage: Eukaryota; Viridiplantae; Streptophyta; Magnoliopsida; Apiales; Apiaceae.
GUCAGUAUAGAAACAAGGUGAGCAAGUCAGGAGUUUGCAAUGAAGUUUUCAGGAGAGAAUCUUGCAGGAGAAUUUGUGAAGUUUCAAUAUUUAUUACAAGUAAAUAGUGAGUAUGGCACAACUCAAGAGAACCGCCCGGAAAUGGGUUUUCGGCAAAGGCAGGGAAAAGGCGCAUCACCCAAGUUGAGACUGCUAGACUACGCUGCUUGUUAGUACGAGCUAUAGUGAUUAUAAUGGUCUGAAACCAGACUUCCCUUUAUGUAAUAAAGUUAGACUCGGUAGUAAUGUUGUAAGACGAGCGACCCUGGACUUGUGGGGCAAGAGUUGGAUUAUGUAAUAUUAAUAUGUAAUGCAAGUGUUGUUUUGAGCCAGA